Molecule: ribosomal RNA, 468 nt
Filed under: uncultured bacterium
Lineage: Bacteria
Description: partial 16S ribosomal RNA
Rfam family: Bacterial small subunit ribosomal RNA
Source: RNAcentral
GACGAACGCUGGCGGCGUGCUUAACACAUGCAAGUCGAACGGAAAGGCCCUGCUUUUGUGGGGUGCUCGAGUGGCGAACGGGUGAGUAACACGUGAGUAACCUGCCCUUGACUUUGGGAUAACUUCAGGAAACUGGGGUUAAUACCGGAUAGGAGCUCCUGCUGCAUGGUGGGGGUUGGAAAGUUUCGGCGGUUGGGGAUGGACUGGCGGUUUAUCAGCUUGUUGGUGGGGUAUUGGCUUACCAAGGCUUUGACGGGUGGCCGGCCUGGGCGGGUGACCGGCCCCGUUGGGACUGAGAUACGGCCCAGACUCCUACGGGAGGCAGCAGUGGGAAAAAUUGCACAGUGGGCGGAGGCCUGAUGCGGCAACGCCGCGUGCGGGAUGACGGCCUUCGGGUUGUAAACCGCUUUCGCCUGUGACGAGGCGGGGGUGACGGUAAUGGGUGAAGAAGCACCGGCUAACUACGUG